RNAcentral lists this long non-coding RNA (471 nucleotides) under Anser cygnoides (Swan goose). Its description in RNAcentral is "lncRNA (ENSACDG00005010014.1)". Lineage: Eukaryota; Metazoa; Chordata; Aves; Anseriformes; Anatidae. The record is from RNAcentral.
GUCCUGUUUACAUUGGGGAAAGAUCUACAGAUUACAGCAGGAGUUAACCACAGCUUACCUGAAAACUCUCAUCUAACUUGAGUCCAAGAAGCAGAUGCUGCCCUCUUUUACACCAGUGCAAUUCUGGAAUAACUCCACUGACGUCAGUGAAGUGAGAUUUAUCCCAGUUGAAAGCAGAAUUGGACCACAGUCUCAUCAUCUGCUUAUAUGCUAUGGUGCUCUCAGGAAGGUGCACCAUUACCAUACCAUAAGCUUUCCAGCUGUCCACUGAUCUUUCUACUUCCUGGGGCCUCUAGUAAUUCCUCACUCCCAUUAACUUGCUGGAGUCACUUCAGUAGUGCAUUGUACCUAACUUUGAAAAUAGCCUUGAGAUGGCUCUGCUGCAGCUCAGCCUGGGUUUCUGGUUUGGAUGCAGAAAUCAACAAUAACAAAUGGCCUUCAACAACUUUCAUUGAACUGAAGGUCAGGUAA